This 492-nucleotide ribosomal RNA is filed under the name uncultured bacterium. RNAcentral describes it as "partial 16S ribosomal RNA". It matches the Rfam family "Bacterial small subunit ribosomal RNA", at positions 29 to 507 of the family's 1533-position model. The record is from RNAcentral.
AGUGAACGCUGGCGGUAGGCCUAACACAUGCAAGUCGAACGGCAGCACAGUAAGAGCUUGCUCUUACGGGUGGCGAGUGGCGGACGGGUGAGGAAUACAUCGGAAUCUACUUUUUCGUGGGGGAUAACGUAGGGAAACUUACGCUAAUACCGCAUACGACCUACGGGGGAAAGCAGGGGAUCUUCGGACCUUGCGCGAUUGAAUGAGCCGAUGUCGGAUUAGCUAGUUGGCGGGGUAAAGGCCCACCAAGGCGACGCUCCGUAGCUGGUCUGAGAGGGUGAUCAGCCACACUGGAACUGAGACACGGUCCAGACUCCUACGGUAGGCAGCAGUGGGGAAUAUUGGACAAUGGGCGCAAGCCUGAUCCAGCCAUACCGCGUGAGUGAAGAAGGCCUUCGGGUUGUAAAGCCCUUUUGUUGGGAAAGAAAAGCAGCAGGUUAAUACCCCGCUGUUCUGACGGUACCCAAAGAAUAAGCACCGGCUAACUUCGUG